This is a long non-coding RNA of Oncorhynchus keta (chum salmon), 1014 nucleotides long. RefSeq lists it as uncharacterized. The record is from RefSeq and is a predicted model, not a curated record. The transcript is spliced from 3 exons. NCBI's taxonomy places the organism in Eukaryota, Metazoa, Chordata, Actinopteri, Salmoniformes, Salmonidae.
UUCAUAAUUGCAUACUAUCUGAACUAGCUAAUAUAGCUAGUAUCACCUAAAGCAUGUUAGUUACAGUAGCUAGCUAUAAAAAGAUUAGCUAGCUAUCCUCACGUUGUAGCUAAAUAUAAUUUAUUUGUUCCCAUUCUAGUCUGUUCCCACUCAAUGAUGACAUCUCCCAUCACUCAAUAAUGACAUCUCCCAUCACUCAAGGAAGAAAUCUCAUAACGGCUAACAUCAGGGGUACCCUUGUGUCUUAUCAUGAACGGGGUAUGAAAAGGAGGUCCUCAGCCCUGGUGACGGAGGCUGCUGCGGCUACAGGACUACCUGUGUCUGUAGUUAAGAACUGUGGGUAACUAUGGGUGUUCACGUAAUACCUCCUGCAACACCAGGCGACGCAAAGCUGCUGGUCAUAAGCGCAGCGUGUCUGCCUAUAACUUGUUUUGCGCAGAGCUGCUGGAGGGGAAAGACAUGUAUUCUCAGAUUAAUGUUUAUUCCAACAUAAAAAAUGUAGUCCUACAUUCGGAUGUGAAAUGUUGAUAAUUGCUCUAUCAUUUUCACCUCUCGAUUAAAUAAUGUGUCUUUCCACACAUUAGAUAUAAUAUAUUCCUAAUUUCAAAUAAGACUGUUUCCCGCUGGAUUAUUUUUAAAGUAAGAGUAUUAUUUAAAUAAUUAUAUUAACUGAUAAUACCAACAUGUUUUAAGCAGAACACCAUAGUGCCUGUGCCCAAGAACACUAAGGUAACCUGCCUAAAUGACUACCAACCCUUAACACUCACGUCUGUAGCCAUGAAGUGCUUUGAAAGGCUGGUCAUAGCUCACAUCAACACCAUCAUCCCAGAAACCCUAGACCCACUCCAAUUUGCAUACCGCCCCAACAGAUCCACAGAUGAUGCAGUUUCUAUUGCACUCCAUUACUGCCCUUUCCCACCUGGACAAAAGGAACACCUAUGUGUGAAUGCUAUUCAUUGACUACAGCUCAGCGUUCAACACCAUAGUGGCCUCAAAGUUAAGGACCCUGGGACU